Long non-coding RNA from Bactrocera tryoni, 580 nucleotides. RefSeq lists it as uncharacterized. Lineage: Eukaryota; Metazoa; Arthropoda; Insecta; Diptera; Tephritidae. The transcript is spliced from 3 exons. The record is from RefSeq and is a predicted model, not a curated record.
GCAAAGCUUUUCAUAAAAAAAUUUAGUAAUAAUAAUAGGAAAUUAUCAAUACGCUCACGAAUAUGCGUGUGUAUGUAUAUUUAUUGCUUUAAUAUUUGAGUUAGUUUUAACCUCGAUGCAUAUAGAUAUGCAUUUUCAUUGAGGAUGCUGGACCUUGGUGGGCACAAUAGACUAAAAAGCACUUACCCAUCAUCCUGAUCCUCUUUGUGGCUUAAAUCAUUAUUUAAUGCUAUUGCAGCUGCAUCUGCCGCGGGCGAUAUGCGACCACGAUCGACUUUCAUCACAGGUUUCGAGAUAAAGCUGUUAUUAAAUAUAUGUUGAUGUGCGCUAUGAAAUACAAGAACAAAUCGGACAAAACUUAAAAGCUUCGCUUUGACCAACCUUUGCUGUGUUGACAUAAAUAGUGGAUGAUGCUUUUCAUUAAAUCUAGGUGUAACAUGCUGAAAACCGAGAACCAAAUUAAAAUAUAGAGAUCAAAUUAAAUCAUAUUAAAUGAAAAUAUAAGUAUUAACAUGUCAUUGCCAAAAACUGCUGAUAUUGAAAAAUGGUAGAAAUUAGGUAUAAGUUUAUAAAAUUUUGG